AUUGAACGCUGGCGGCAGGCCUAACACAUGCAAGUCGAGCGAGCGGCGGACGGGUGAGUAAUGUAUGGGGACUGCCCGAUAGAGGGGGAUAAAUACUGGAAACGGUGGCUAAUAACGCAUACUAUCGGAUCACCCAUAUGGGAUUAGCUAGUAGGUGGGGGAAAGGCUCACCUAGGCGACGAUCUCUAGCUGGUCUGAGAGGAGGAUAGGCCACUAUGGCACUGAGCCAGGGCCCAGACUCCUAAGGAGGCAUCAGUGGGUAAUAUUGCGCAAUGGGGGCAACCCUGACGCAGCCAUGCCGCGUGAAUGAAGAAGUCCUUCGGGUUGUAAAGUUCUUUCGGUAGCGAGGCGUUAACUACAGAAGAAGCACCGGCUAACUCCGUGCCAGCAGCCGCGGUAAUUC
Molecule: ribosomal RNA, 403 nt
Filed under: uncultured bacterium
Lineage: Bacteria
Description: partial 16S ribosomal RNA
Rfam family: Bacterial small subunit ribosomal RNA
Source: RNAcentral